Triticum aestivum (bread wheat) is the source of this 3517-nucleotide long non-coding RNA. RefSeq lists it as uncharacterized. The record is from RefSeq and is a predicted model, not a curated record. The transcript has 11 exons. NCBI's taxonomy places the organism in Eukaryota, Viridiplantae, Streptophyta, Magnoliopsida, Poales, Poaceae.
UUCGGUGGGCGAAAAGAGGGAAACAAAGCGAUGGAAAUAUCUUCCUCGUCAUCCCUCUAUCUCUUCCCACCCCUCUCCUCUUCGGCUCUUCCCCAUGCCGCCGCCGCCACCACUUCCCCCAUCCUCUUGGACGCCUCGUCUCUUCCACCUCCGCCUCCAUCACCUCCUCCUCCCCUGCCUCCGCACCCGACCACGUGCUGUGGACGAGGAGGCAACAGCUCGGGAGGCAGGCAAGAGGAAAAUGGGAGUGAUCCCCUCCCGAGCCCCGCGCCUCUCCUCUUUCCCACUGCGCCGCCAGCCCCUUUCCCUCCCAUCUCCAGCUGCUGCAGCUCCUCCCUCAACCCGCGGCGCGCCUUCUUCUCCGACCGUUGUUGCCCGCACUGCUACCGCCACGGCCUGCUACUGCUCCUCCUCCUCCAGCUCCUCGCCCCAGCGACGCUUUCUCCCCUCCUCUCAUGCAAGGCGUCUUGGGGUGUGGAGGCGGCGGGGCAGCAGCCAGUCGUUGCCCUGCAGGGGCAGCAACAGGUCGGCUAUCCUGUUGUGGCGGCGACACGUCUAGAGGAACCGGUCGCCCUUCUCCUGGAUGAGCGCCGGAGCCGAAAAGCCGGAACUGACCAUUGAGGAGCUGGGGCAGCCAUGCCACAUAGGAAGGUCGAGGUGGACCAGGAGAAGCUGCACGAGGCUCCAUCGCCUCCUGCUCAAGUAGAUUUGGUUUCUCUAUGCCUACAUGAUGUUUGAUGAAAAUCCAAGAAGGACGGGGAGGAUUGAUCUAUAUAUGCGGAUAAGAGAAGAAAACUGAAACAUGUUCACUAGAGUGGCCUGGGGUGGCCUGCGAGCUACGAGGAUGGGGCUGCGAGACUGGAUUGGCAGCCGACAGCGAGAGAGGAAGGGUGGUUGUUCCUGUGAUGAGGUGGUGAUGAUUGCCAUAGUGGAAUUUUGUAGGUACGACGGCAGCGAGCUUUGAGGGCCCCCGGUUUGGUGGCAGCAUGAGCCUCGUGGAGUUGUCUCGGACAACAUCACAUCUAUUUGUUUUUGUUUCCCCACUUAGACUACUGCUUUGAUUCUGAAGUGUGGAGAUGGAUGUGACUUACCAUGGAGGAAGUGGGUACAAUAUCCAUUUGAAAGAUGCAGCAGGCUCAAAAUAAGUUUCCGGUGCAAGUGUAGCUGCAAGCCAGAUUGGUUCUUACAGCAAUGGAGUGAUUUGUACCCUGCAAAGUUCCUCUCUUGGUUCACUGACACGAUCAACCUAUGUGCACGUAGAUGAUGUUUUGUUUCCCUUCCUAGAAUCUCUGUUAUAUAUUGGUGUUGAUGUUUUCUUCACUUGGAGAUGCAAAAACAGCCCGAGACAGUUCAGGCUGAGGAUUCUCCCUCGCUCGAGGAUUCCAGUAACUAUGAGUUCUAGGCGAAGAUGUACGUUUCCUACAGACAUUUUCAGUUUGACGAGAGCUUUGCCAUUCAGCUUGAAAAAGUAUGUUCCGUCUAGGACAGAGAACCAUGAUUAUCACCACUGUUGGAGGAAAAAGCUAGAGCAAUUAUGUUUCUACUUUCAUGCAUUAUGGUUGUCUAUUCUGGGAAGGAUAGAGUUUACAUAUUUCGUAUGCCUAAAUAGUGAAGGUACUUUAUUUUCAUUUAACUGUUUCUAUGCUAUUCUCUCAUUGUCUGUGUUGGCUAAGAAAUACUAAUGUAAAUAUUCUUCGAUUUGAAAAGUUGUCAUCUCUCAUUUUUUUCGUUUUACCGCUUUCUUGUGCUACUGUUAGGCAAAUUUAGCUUUCAAUUCAACAAUUUGCUUGCUUUCUAAAGCAUGUACUACUGUUGAAGUUCAGUAUAUCAAGUAAUAAUAGUGUGUUAAAAUGAAUAAUACACAUUGAGCUAUAUAUAUUUGCUGCAAUUUGGGGCUGCUGUUGUAAUGUGGUAUAUCUCCUCCCUUGUAAUAUGUAAGGUUGUGACAGUUUAAUAUUCUUCCGCUCAGCAGCACCAAGUACGUGUUUGCAGCCUUUCUGUGCUACAUGUGAGUUCAGUUUACUGCUAACUGCAGUUGUUUAUGGAUUAGUGUAUUUUGUUGUAGGUUAAAUGGAGUUAGUAAGACCAUAUUUGAUGCUGAUCAUAAGAUACUAACGGGCUCCAUGUAAUCCCAAGUGCAUUGAACAACAAUUGUCAUUUUGCAAGAUCUUCUAGAGGGCUAUAUGUCCUAUGCUCCUCUUGACGACAUAUAUGAGGACUCGCAACCCUGAGCCUGGAAGACAACCGUUAAGGCGGUGGUCAUGGGGCAACGAUAGUCGAUAGCUACUAUCAGAACAUAAACGUAUGGCCCUCCUUGUUGCCAUGAAGGAUUAUCGUCUAUUGGAUUUGCAGAACCAGUUAAUGACAAGAUGAUGGUAGUAGCAAUGGAGGGUCGUGGUUUCUGAAUGCUGAGACUUCCAGUUUUUAGGAUCGUAAACUCCAAAUUUGGAAAUGAUAUUGUCCAAUGUAUUCACGCAAUUAGAUAUCAUUUUAGAUUAUCUUCCCUUGGAACUUCUGCCAUGUAAAGCAUGGUUGCCUUUGAUUUACCGUUGUGCUAUGAACAUAAUGUAUUGGCGUCCUCUUCUCACGAAUCAUGCUGACACUUAGCUUCUGUUUUCCGAUGUAGGGUUAUUUAGUAUGAACAAAUAUGGCAACAGUCAUUAGUCGUACUGUUUCUUGAGGUGAUGCCACUGCUACAGAAGCCCAUCUAAUGAAAGGAAAUGAGGACAGGGCAACCAUAGCUUACUUGGCAGAAACCUGCUCCAGGUUCGUAUAAGCUGAAUACUGGCGCAAGUUACUUUGAUGGUGGAACAGGUUCAGUUGCUGCAGUGCUUAGAAACUCUCGAGGGGAAGCUGUUGCAGGAGCUUCCGAGCUAAUUGACCAUGUUCUUAAUGCCCAAACUUCUGAAACUUUGGCGCUGUUGCAAGGUUUGAAGCUUCUUUCAGAGAUUGGGUGCACCAAGGUGACAGUCGAAUCAAAUUGUCUAGAACUGAUUGAAGCACGUAGUGGAAAAAUUGAGAUUUUGGGUCCCAAUGUAGCAAUACUUGCGGACUGUUUUCAUAUUGCUCAUGAAAUUCCUGGAAUUUGUUUCAAGCAUUGUCCAAGUGAAGCUAAUGGAUUGGCACAUUUUCUGGCUAGAGGAUAGGCCCAUUGCAUCUGUUGAUGCUACUGUGUUUCGACUUGAGAUCAGAUACUUCCCGUUUCAGCGUAAAGGUCGACAAGUGCCACCGCCACUCCCUAUGUUGUUUCUAUUCUAAUGUGAUCUACUUGAGACCAGGAGACAAACGUCUUUCACUCCUAUGGGGUCCAACUCCUAAUGAUUGAUGAUGUACAAUGUGUCUAAUUCCAGUUCAAACGUCUUUCACUUGAUUGGCUUGACCUCUUAUUUUAUCUUGCAUAUUUUAGAUGAUAUUAGUAGUCACUCGAGCAUCAAUUUUUUCUAUGUUCACUACAAGUCCUUUUCCUUUCAAAAUUAAUCUUCCUUUGUGCCAAAUGUUCUUUCUUACUGAACUAUCA